AGUGAACGCUGGCGGUAGGCCUAACACAUGCAAGUCGAACGGCAGCACAGUAAGAGCUUGCUCUUACGGGUGGCGAGUGGCGGAUGGGUGAGGAAUACAUCGGAAUCUACUUUUUCGUGGGGGAUAACGUAGGGAAACUUACGCUAAUACCGCAUACGACCUACGGGUGAAAGCAGUGGAUCUUCGGACCUUGCGCGAUUGAAUGAGCCGAUGUCGGAUUAGCUAGUUGGCGUGGUAAAGGCCCACCAAGGCGACGAUCCGUAGCUGGUCUGAGAGGAUGAUCAGCCACACUGGAACUGAGACACGGUCCAGACUCCUACGGGAGGCAGCAGUGGGGAAUAUUGGACAAUGGGCGCAAGCCUGAUCCAGCCAUACCGCGUGGGUGAAGAAGGCCUUCGGGUUGUAAAGCCCUUUUGUUGGGAAAGAAAAGCAGCAGGUUAAUACCCCGCUGUUCUGACGGUACCCAAAGAAUAAGCACCGGCUAACUUCGUG
This 492-nucleotide ribosomal RNA is filed under the name uncultured bacterium. Its description in RNAcentral is "partial 16S ribosomal RNA". It matches the Rfam family "Bacterial small subunit ribosomal RNA", at positions 29 to 507 of the family's 1533-position model. The record is from RNAcentral.